Molecule: ribosomal RNA, 468 nt
Filed under: uncultured bacterium
Lineage: Bacteria
Description: partial 16S ribosomal RNA
Rfam family: Bacterial small subunit ribosomal RNA
Source: RNAcentral
GACGAACGCUGGCGGCGUGCUUAACACAUGCAAGUCGAACGGACAGGCCCUGCUCUUGUGUGGUGCUCGAGUGGCGAACGCGUGAGUAACACGUGAGUAACCUGCCCUUGACUUUGGGGUAACAUCUGGAAACUGGGGCUAAUACCGGAGAGGAUCUCCUGCUGCAUGGUGGUGGAUGGAGAGUUUCGGCGGUUGGGGAUGGUAUCGAGGCUUAUGAGCUUGUUGGUGGGGUAGUUGGUUUCCAAGGCUUUGAAGGGUAGCCGGCCUGAGAGGGUUACCGGGCACAUUGCGCCUGCGGUACGGCGCAGUCUGCUAUGGGCGGCAGCGGUGGAGAACAUGGCAGAGUGGGCGGAAGUCUGAGGCAGAAAUGUCGCGUGCGGAAAGACGGCUUACUGGGUGUGAACCUCUUUCGCCGGUAACGAAGAGUGAGUGACGGUAACGGGUAAGAAAGCACCGGCUAACUACGUG